AACGCGAAGAACCUUACCCAGGCUUGACAUGCAGUAGACGAGUUUAGAGAUAGACUUUUCCUUAGGGACUGCUGCACAGGUGCUGCAUGGCUGUCGUCAGCUCGUGCCGUGAGGUGUUGGGUUAAGUCCCGCAACGAGCGCAACCCUUAUCGUUAGUUGCCAACAUAUUAGGUGGGAACUCUAACGAGACUGCCUGGGUUAACCAGGAGGAAGGUGAGGAUGACGUCAAGUCCGCAUGGCCCUUAUGUCUGGGGCUACACACGUGCUACAAUGGCCGAUACAGAAGGAAGCCAAACCGCGAGGUGGAGCAAAUCCCGAAAGUCGGCCCCAGUUCAGAUUGUAGUUUGCAACUUGACUACAUGAAGAUGGAAUGCUAGUAAUGGCGAGUCAGCAACAUCCCCCUGAAUACCUUCCCGGGUCUUGUACACACC
RNAcentral lists this ribosomal RNA (431 nucleotides) under uncultured bacterium. RNAcentral's name for it is "bacterial SSU rRNA". It matches the Rfam family "Bacterial small subunit ribosomal RNA", at positions 958 to 1391 of the family's 1533-position model. The record is from RNAcentral.